RNAcentral lists this ribosomal RNA (253 nucleotides) under uncultured bacterium. Its description in RNAcentral is "partial 16S ribosomal RNA". It matches the Rfam family "Bacterial small subunit ribosomal RNA", at positions 524 to 776 of the family's 1533-position model. The record is from RNAcentral.
GACGAACCGAGCGAACGUUAUUCGGAAUCACUGGGCUUAAAGGGCGCGUAGGCGGGCGGCCAAGUCAGGGGUGAAAGCCCCCAGCUCAACUGGGGAAGUGCCUCUGAUACUGGUCGCCUCGAGGGAGAUAGGGGCGUGCGGAACUUCCGGUGGAGCGGUGAAAUGCGCAGAUAUCGGGAGGAACACCGGUGGCGAAGGCGGUUCUCUGGGCCUGUACUGACGCUGAGGAGCGAAAGCGUGGGGAGCGAACAGG